This 429-nucleotide ribosomal RNA is filed under the name uncultured archaeon. RNAcentral describes it as "bacterial SSU rRNA". It matches the Rfam family "Archaeal small subunit ribosomal RNA", at positions 474 to 903 of the family's 1478-position model. The record is from RNAcentral.
UACCAGCUCUCCGAGUGGUAGGGAUGAUUAUUUGGCUUAAAGCGUCCGUAGCCGGCUUAGCAAGUUUCCUGUUAAACCCAGCGACUCAAUCGUUGGAUCGCGGGAAAUACUACUAGGCUAGGAGGCGGGAGAGGUCAACGGUACUUCUGGGGUAGGGGUGAAAUCCUAUAAUCCCGGGAGGACCACCAGUGGCGAAGGCUGUUGACUAGAACGCGCUCGACGGUGAGGGACGAAAGCUGGGGUAGCAAACCGGAUCAGAUACCCGGGUAGUCCCAGCUGUAAACGAUGCGAGCUAGGUGUUGGGAUGGCUACGGGCCAUUUCAGUGCCGCAGGGAAGCCAUUAAGCUCGCCGCCUGGGGAGUACGGCCGCAAGGCUGAAACUUAAAGGAAUUGGCGGGGGAGCACCACAAGGCGUGAAGCUUGCGGUUC